RNAcentral lists this non-coding RNA (83 nucleotides) under Methylomonas sp. RNAcentral describes it as "c-di-GMP sequence". It matches the Rfam family "c-di-GMP-I riboswitch aptamer". Rfam says of the family: GEMM was predicted in a large-scale screen for bacterial structured RNA regulatory elements. RNAcentral also lists the same sequence under 1 other name. Lineage: Bacteria; Pseudomonadati; Pseudomonadota; Gammaproteobacteria; Methylococcales; Methylococcaceae. The record is from RNAcentral.
GGGAUGGUUCGCCACAUUCGCCGCGAGGCGAAGCCGGAAAGCCACGGGUCCUCUUAGGGGGAAGGGACGGCCGGGUUGCAAUC